RNAcentral lists this ribosomal RNA (253 nucleotides) under uncultured bacterium. RNAcentral's name for it is "partial 16S ribosomal RNA". It matches the Rfam family "Bacterial small subunit ribosomal RNA", at positions 524 to 776 of the family's 1533-position model. The record is from RNAcentral.
UACGGGGGGGGCAAGCGUUGUUCGGAAUUACUGGGCGUAAAGAGCUCGUAGGCGGUUUGUCGCGUCUGCUGUGAAAACCCGAGGCUCAACCUCGGGCCUGCAGUGGGUACGGGCAGACUAGAGUGCGGUAGGGGAGAUUGGAAUUCCUGGUGUAGCGGUGGAAUGCGCAGAUAUCAGGAGGAACACCGAUGGCGAAGGCAGAUCUCUGGGCCGUAACUGACGCUGAGGAGCGAAAGCGUGGGGAGCGAACAGG